AGGUAAAGGUGAUACAUGUUGUAAACACCUGGACAAGGUAAAGGUGAUACAUGUUGUAAACACCUGGACAAGGUAAAGGUGAUACAUGUUGUAAACACCUGGACAAGGUAAAGGUGAUACAUGUUGUAAACACCUGGACAAGGUAAAGGUGAUACAUGUUGUAAACACCUGGACAAGGUAAAGGUGAUAUGUUGUAAACACCUGGACAAGGUAAAGGUAAUACAUGCUGUAAACACCUGGACAAGGUAAAGGUGAUACAAGGUAAAGGUGAUAUGUUGUAAACACCUGGACAAGGUAAAGGUGAUAUGUUGUAAACACCUGGACAAGGUAAAGGUGAUAUGUUGUAAACACCUGGACAAGGUAAAGGUGAUACAUGCUGUAAACACCUGGACAAGGUAAAGGUGAUACAAGGUAAAGGUGAUACAUGUUGUAAACACCUGGACAAGGUAAAGGUGAUACAUGUUGUAAACACCUGGACAAGGUAAAGGUGAUACAUGUUGUAAACACCUGGACAAGGUAAAGGCGAUAUGUUGUAAACACCUGGACAAGGUAAAGGUGAUACAUGCUGUAAACACCUGGACAAGGUAAAGGUGAUACAAGGUAAAGGUGAUACAUGUUGUAAACAGCUGGACAAGGUAAAGGUGAUACAAGGUAAAGGUGAUACAUGUUGUAAACACCUGGACAAGGUAAAGGUGAUACAUCUUGUAAACACCUGGACAAGGUAAAGGUGAUACA
Non-coding RNA from Oncorhynchus mykiss (rainbow trout), 735 nucleotides. The record is from RefSeq and is a predicted model, not a curated record. Lineage: Eukaryota; Metazoa; Chordata; Actinopteri; Salmoniformes; Salmonidae.